This is a long non-coding RNA of Pantherophis guttatus, 3309 nucleotides long. RefSeq lists it as uncharacterized. Lineage: Eukaryota; Metazoa; Chordata; Lepidosauria; Squamata; Colubridae. The record is from RefSeq and is a predicted model, not a curated record.
GAAGGAUUUGGCUGGGCUCUCAGAGCGCUGCUGUUGCUACCGGGGCGGAGACGCGCUGCUGGCGCGCCUCGGCGGCGUGUGAUGCUUCUCCACCCUCGCGGGGAGCUCGCCAGCUUCCGAACGGAGCGCACCCUUUCUCCGCUCCGCUCAGUGCCCGGGGAAACCAGCGAAGCCUUCACGUUCCACGCACCCCGAGAGGAAAAUCUGUCCCGGGGCCGAGAUUCAGGGGGCCAAGGCAGAGGUGUGUGUAUUUGGGAGUGGGGGGGGAGAGACCGCAAGGGGGACGCGCCUCGGAAGCACGCCCAGAAGGAGCCGCGCCCUCCGCCCAGCCCACCGCAAAGCAUCCAGCCCAAGUCAGAUCACUUUUCCAGAGUCAGAAACUACCUGGAUAAUCCCAAGUCUCCACACUGAGAGACUCGGGAUGAAAAAGUGGUUACCGUUUAGAAGAUAAAAUCAAAAGCAAGUGAAUACAACACGCACCGGCUAAACUAGGAAUGAAAACAACAUUAUUGGAUUUCAUUGCAUCAACCAUUUUUGGAUGGACCAGUUUCUGCCCCUCAUUGCAAUAGCUUCUGGAAUGAGGGUUGAUUACCAAACUCAGAGUGAAACAAACUCAUAAGGAAUCUAUUAUUGUCGUGAUGGCUCUCUUAGUUCAGUGGGUGAUCCCUUCCUAUCAUGACAUUUGUCAAUUGCCCUGAUUAACCACACAAGGAAAGACAGAGAACUGAAAAAUAAAGUGGUCAUCAGUCUUCCGUUGAUGUUCAGAGCAGAGCUUGGAAAGAUAUGUCUUUCACUGCUGGCUGUUAAACGUCUCUUAGGGACCAUGUAACUUCAUGGACACAACUAGAAGCAAGCUGUGUUCUCUUCACCUUUCCUCUGAAAACACCUCUGCUUAAAACGUUAGCCAUCCUAAACAUUCCAAUGAGGCCCAAGUUUAGAGACACUUCGGUUCCCACUUUUCUAACAGCCAAGGUGCGUGAGACCUUAUUGAAUGCUACGCAAGAAGCUGAAACCCAAAAGACAGAGGAAUCCCUUUCAUCAGCCGUGGCAUUGCUUGUGGUGCUGAUCCUCCUCUUCUGCCUGGUGUCUUUGUCCCUGGCGACCUCCUGCUUUCAUAAAUGGAAGCUGAGGAGCAAAAGAUUACAGAAAGCUCAUGAAGAGUAUCAGAAGGAUUAUGAAAAUAGCGGGCACCGAAUCACGUCAAGACUUGUUUAACAAGAGGGAACAAAACUCAAAGCAAAGACAUCAACCUAACUAUUAUAUUUCUGCAUUAAUAUGAAAGAUAGAAGAUAACUUUGAACAUUAUUGAUUAAAUGAUAUAGCAUAUUGCUUUCCUAAUAUGGACCUGUCAAUUAAUUGAGAUUUUUCCUACCUUUUCAUUCUCUAUUUAAGAUCAUACCAUGAUUGGACUGUAAAGCUACCUUUACUAGCACAAUCUCCAGGAAGCAAUAUUCAAACAUAUAAAAGCAUCACUCCAUUGUUUGUGUAGGGCUACUCUGGAAAAGCCAGCUUGAAAGUAACCUCUUUUCUUUUAUCCAGAUUUUCCACUGGUAUCAGAGAGCUUAAAUUUGAGCUGCUGAAAAAAGGGCAGCACAACUGUGAAAUCCAUAUAAAUCCUCUGAUGUAACAACUUCAAAGAAAAUCCUAAUUUUUCAAAACAGUAGAAGACAGCCUGAUCAAAGGCAGUGGGAUUUCCAUCCCAUCAAAUACCUACCACAAAUGCUUUCUCGUGCAAGUUGCAGGUCAAUUGAUUGGAAAUUAACUUUUAAAACAAUAGGAACAACUUUAUUCAUAGGUGCCAGUUACAGAUUUCACUGCAGAUGGUAAAAUAAAGAUGAGGUAAAAUAUCUCUCUUGGGGAAAUACUACAGGGUGAAAAAUAGUUAUUAUUCUAUCAUUUGGGGGUGGGUGGGAAUGUGCCUCUACAUAAUAAGAGAAUGAAAUUUGUACUCUAAUAUAAAAACCUUUCUUGUUUUGCUUUGUUUCCCUACAUUUGUAAUAAUUAUAGAAAAAGAGUCAGAGAACCCAACCUGUGGUAGAAAUCUAGUAUAAAGCCCAUGAUUAUAAUAAUGGCACCUGAGCUGAGCAGAAAAGGAGCCUCAAGAGGAGCAUUAAUAAACUUCUUUUUGACAUCCUAUGGCUGAAUACAAAGAAAAAGGCAACAAUACUCACAAAUACAAAGGGAUUUGCUGCCAAUAUAUUUAUAGAUAUGGUACACACAGAAAACCAUUUUUGAAACAGAAAUACAAAGGCAAUUAUUAAGGGUCCACCUGAAUCGACCAUCCAAAGGUAAGAAAAACCAUCAAAAAGAUAUGGAGAUAGAGAGACAGACAGACAGAGAGAGAGAAAUCAGAGAGAGACAGAGAGAAACAGAGAAACAUCACCUUUGGCUAUUCUGGUAUAGCAAAGGAAUCAGUAUGGCAGGUAAAGACCACAUCUGAUGGAUGGAUACCCCAUUGAGCCCAUUAAUUAGUUAGAUGAUGACAUGUAAAACCUUUUUAAAAUGGUGCCCUCAGUUAAGCAGGGCUGAUUUUUUUAAAAAAACAACACUAUUUUUAAUAUGAAAACUUAAAAAGAAUAUGCAAGGGAGACAUGACCUUGACAAGAGCAAUGGCCUUGCAUUCAUGGCAGCGAAUGGGGCCAGUGCUCUUAUUUACAUGCAAAUAUAAUCAACUGAAGCCCUUAUGAUUAACCAAUUAUUUUUUUUAUAUUCUUCUUUAAUUGCCUAACCACGUUUACAAUUCCUUUUAACUGAGCUUAUUUAUAAUAGCAUGUUUUUAUUUUCAUGGUUUACUGACUUCAUACUAAGGACAAUAAUUUGAUAGGUAGCUUAUUAAAAGUAAUCCUUUUUAACCAGAAUGUGAGAUAUAUCAUGAAAAUGACUAUCUGUUUUUGCUAUGUUUUUAAGUAGGUAGCAUGCAUAUACAGUAUAAACCUGCAACCAUCCUACUAAAGUAUAUAGCUUGCUUGCAAUUACCAUUUGUCAAUGUAAUGCACAUUUUUCAAUAAGUUGUGACACUGGGGAAGACUAUACACCUUUUCUUCCAGAGAGGGGAGGAAAUUUCCAGUUGGGGGGGGGAGUGGGGAGAAAGUGAAAAAACUGCUGAAGGGAUUAAAAGAGCUCACUGAGAGCAGAGCAUGUUUCUUAAGAAUGCCACAAAGGGGAAAUCAUGGAAGAGCCUUAAGAGCCUGUUUGAUUGCUACAGAGAGGUUUUGAAAAAUGUAUUUAUGGGUCAUCCGGAUGAUUCUAUGCAGGAACAAAACAAUAUAACUUUGUUAUUUAAUAAAUCAAAGAAGCGGUGAACUUUAA